Molecule: long non-coding RNA, 344 nt
Filed under: Fukomys damarensis (Damara mole-rat)
Lineage: Eukaryota; Metazoa; Chordata; Mammalia; Rodentia; Bathyergidae
Description: lncRNA (ENSFDAG00000027501.1)
Source: RNAcentral
UGUGAUGGACAAUUGCUGAGAUGCCAUGUACCAGUGAGUAAGCACCUGGUCUCCAUGAAGAAGUAAAACAGCAAAAGUUGCUGUGGUCUUGUGCCUAAGCUCUCAACAUAAGAAUGUAAAUAAUUGGGAUGAGUUUAACCGAGCAUUGCCUGUAAACUACAGCCCUGCCCACCUGCCCCUACUCCUGGCCUUCCAGCUAGAACCCAGAUGCACUAGAUGAAGACAACAGGCUGGCAGGAGAUGAGACAAGAAGUCAGAAGAACCUGAGGUACCGCACAACUCUAAGGUGUCAAGCUUCUACAUUACCAUGUGCGUACUGCUUCUUGUGCGCUACUAAAUAACAG